Molecule: long non-coding RNA, 2557 nt
Organism: Chenopodium quinoa (quinoa)
Lineage: Eukaryota; Viridiplantae; Streptophyta; Magnoliopsida; Caryophyllales; Amaranthaceae
Exons: 2
Source: RefSeq, a predicted model, not a curated record
AGUGGGCUGUAAACCAGUUACAAAGUGGAGGCUUUGGCCCAAAAACAACAGAAACCGACUUUUACCACCUCAACAAUUAAAACCCAGUCAAACCCUAGAAAAACCCUAACUCCCCCAAUCUCUCUCUCUCUUAUAAAUUCGAUUCCCAGAUCCUUUUCAAUUCAUUGUCUCCGCCUCUCUUCUAUUCAUCAGAUUUCCUCUCUCUCUUUCACCGAUUUUUCUGGUAUUUCUAUUUUUUUUUACGAUUUUGGUACUUCUAUAUUAUUUUACGAAAAUUAGGGUUUUAAUGCUUCCGAUUUGGGGGAGAAUUACAGUGACGACUUCACAAAUUCAAGCUCAACAGACCGGAUUGCAGGAAUUUCUCACUCUUGAGAUUUCUUUUGCGUGUCGAAAACCCCGCUGAACUGAGUGAUGGAAAUGAUGAUUAUUUCCCCAGAUGAUCGAAGCUGAAAUCACUGAGCGUUUUAAUUUCUCAUUUAUGAGAAGUCAAGCCAGUAUUCUGAUCCAUCUCUUUGACUAUUAUUCAUUGUAGCUGUGUAUUUAGUUUUUUUUUUUUUAUUAGUUGUUUAUGUUUCUUUUGUCAUCGGAAAUUCUACACUGGCAUGAAUUGGGACAUGGGACUGUAUCUCAUUGAACAGAACUUGGGACAUGUGACAUUAUCUUAAUGAGCAUGAACAUGGGACAUGGACAUUAUCUUUGAGCAUGAAUGACUGAGCUAUAGUUGUUGCAUACAUGGACUUUGGAGCAAUAUCUUCCGUGAAAAAUUGAAGGUGGUUUUAGUGAUAAUCUGGUAUAUUGAUUUUUAACUUUUGAUUGGAUAAAUGAUGUGGUAAUUAAACUGCGUUAUCUUCCUGCAAUUUCCUAUUAUAAAGGGAUUGAAGAAAAUUAAGUUGCACUGAUAUCCAAGUAACCUGGUGUAUUUUUACAAGUUUGUGUUGUCUUGUCAAACAAAAGAGAAUUGGGCAUCAAUGAAGAGUAAAAUCCUAUGUUAUCCUUGCACAUUGAUAUACAGUGAUGAAAUUAUGGGGGAAUUUGAUCUGAGAUGCUUUGAGUAUUUUAUUUCCUUGUUGAUUUUACAGUAUUUUUUCUACUAUCAAUUUUUAUUAAAUUUUUUUGCUACUAAUAUAUUAAAUGUGACGGAGAUUUGUCCGAAAAUCUCAUUUUCAUACUAAAAAUUGGGGCAAAUUUGUUUGUUAAUAUUUGUAAAUCCCAAAUUGGAACGUCACAAAGUAAGUUAACUUGAUGUUGAGAAUCCUUCUGGGUUUUCCGUCAAUUUAACGGUUAACGGUUUCAUAUUCCAUGAUCUUGAGUAGCGGCGUUGCCGCAAUUAUCUGUUGGGUCAGGCCAUGAGAGUCAACAUUCCCUCGUAUUUUAUAAAAAUUUAUUUUCUGAAAUUAUGAUUUUCAAAUUGUUUUUGUUUUCUUAUUUCUAACUGUUGUUACUGUACAUUCUAUGGAAUUUAAAAUUUUAGUAUAAGUUGCAAAUGAUGAUAAAACUAGACAGGGACAUCAGAAACUCUUCGGAGUACAUUUGUGUUGAUUUGUCUUAAGAUGGGAAUCUCUUUGAUGCACUUUAAAUCAAUCUAAUUUAUCUAUGGCAACAAAUUAGAGUCUCUGGUUCGCUUUGUUAAUAGCGUCUUUAGCGCUUUACGUUGCCGAUACUAGUUUGGAAUAAGACAUUCUGGCAUUUCCAUGUUUUUCAAUGGUUGAUGCAUUCAAAUGUUUCUACAUUUCAUCAAUUAAGAUUUAUGUAGUAGUAUCUGGAAUAGUUUUUUUUUUUUUUUUUUUUGUGCUAGAGUGAUCUGUGUUGAGGAGAUGGAAGUGAUGAUUAUUUCCCCAGAUGAUCGAAGUUGAAAUCACUGAGCGUUUUUAAUUCUCAUUAUUGAUAAUUCAAGCCAGAAUUCUGAUCCAUCUCUUUUUCCAUUUUUAAUUGAAGAUCUGUUAGGUUUUGUUUGUUACUGUAUGUUUUUCUAUGUGAUAUAAUAUGUCACCAAGUCUCGGUACUUCAGAGGCACGACUCAGGGAUACGAACAUUAUCUAUCAAGGUUGGGUAUCAGGACUUGAGAUGGACAUUGCAGGAUUUUUAGUGUAUACAGUGUAGGAAGUUUGAAAUACUAUGAGUGUUCUGACGUCUCGGACCUCGGUGUCUAGUUCUGCUUAAGGGGCCCUGAUGAUUAGUCCUUGGAUCAUAUUUCUGUGAGCAAAUGUACGUGCAUAACCUGAAAAAUGAAGAGAUGUUGCUUUGAAGAUAGCAGCAUGUUUCUCACUCUUUAGGAGUUUGUUCUAGUUUCAUUAACUAUGUUUACUUACUAGGAAGUUCACUAAGUAAUGAAGUGUGAAGUAUCUUCAGUUGGGCUAGUGUUCUGAUAUCUUGGACUUUGGUGUCUAAUUUUGCUUAAAGAUUCAAUUGCUAAUGAUGAUCAUUUUCUGUGAGCAAUAGUACAUGCAUAAUCUGAGAUCUUGAUUUGAACAUCACUAGCAUAUUUCUCCUCAUUAGGAGGUUGUACUUGAUUACUUAUUUAUUAUGAUAAUUCAAUUCAUUUGUAGUUGUUGGUUUA